UUCAGCGGCGGACGGGUGAGUAAUGCCUAGGAAUCUGCCCGAUAGUGGGGGACAACGUUUCGAAAGGAACGCUAAUACCGCAUACGUCCUACGGGAGAAAGCAGGGGACCUUCGGGCCUUGCGCUAUCGGAUGAGCCUAGGUCGGAUUAGCUAGUUGGUGGGGUAAUGGCUCACCAAGGCGACGAUCCGUAACUGGUCUGAGAGGAUGAUCAGUCACACUGGAACUGAGACACGGUCCAGACUCCUACGGGAGGCAGCAGUGGGGAAUAUUGGACAAUGGGCGAAAGCCUGAUCCAGCCAUGCCGCGUGUGUGAAGAAGGUCUUCGGAUUGUAAAGCACUUUAAGUUGGGAGGAAGGGCUGUCGGCUAAUACCCUGCAGUUUUGACGUUACCAACAGAAUAAGCACCGGCUAACUUCGUGCCAGCAGCCGCGGUAAUACGAAGGGUGCAAGCGUUAAUCGGAAUUACUGGGCGUAAAGCGCGCGUAGGUGGUUCAGUAAGUUGGAAGUGAAAUCCCCGGGCUCAACCUGGGAACUGCUUUCAAAACUGCUGAGCUAGAGUACGGUAGAGGGUGGUGGAAUUUCCUGUGUAGCGGUGAAAUGCGUAGAUAUAGGAAGGAACACCAGUGGCGAAGGCGACCACCUGGACUGAUACUGACACUGAGGUGCGAAAGCGUGGGGAGCAAACAGGAUUAGAUACCCUGGUAGUCCACGCCGUAAACGAUGUCAACUAGCCGUUGGAAUCCUUGAGAUUUUAGUGGCGCAGCUAACGCAUUAAGUUGACCGCCUGGGGAGUACGGCCGCAAGGUUAAAACUCAAAUGAAUUGACGGGGGCCCGCACAAGCGGUGGAGCAUGUGG
Molecule: ribosomal RNA, 857 nt
Filed under: uncultured bacterium
Lineage: Bacteria
Description: bacterial SSU rRNA
Rfam family: Bacterial small subunit ribosomal RNA
Source: RNAcentral